UAUGAUUACCGCCAGUAAGCGUUCUAUCGCAGUCGGUUGAAAUAAAAGUGCAAGAACAUUUCAGUGAGUUGUCAGAAUGGAUUAGCAUCAUGAAAAAAAAAACGCCCAUCAUGACAAUCCGCCCAUAAAUAGGCAUGCAACAUUGCCUGGUCGAAUCGGUACGAUCAGUAUCUUUCUCUAGAAAUUCCGUCCAGAAACGUGACUUUUUUGCUCUAAAAAUGCGUUCGUUGCAUCAGCAAGCAUUCACCCACAUCCCAGAGAGCUGCCGCAUUAUUAUUAUUAUUUUUUUUUUGGUCUGUGUUUUUUCCUGAAUGCCCAAGAAAAUGAUCAUAAGUUCAAGUAUCUCAUAGAAAGUGUGCGGUGCUGCUGUGCAGAUACGUUUUUUUUUUCUAGAAUUUUUUUCAUUUAGUUUGUUUAAGUGCGGUGCGGUUUGUUUUGGUGUGUGCGGUUUUGUGUGCACAGCUGAUAUUGUUCUCUCUCAUCCGUUUGCUGCUUAGAAGAUUGUCGUUGAUUAUUAUCAUCGGGUUUAUUUAUUCCAUUUUUGAGAGAAAAUAGCAAACAUAAGCCAAAAGUGAUUGACGGGGCAAGUUACUGAAAGUAUCUUAAACAAAAAAAAAAUGGUAUCUAUUACCCGCGUUUUAGAGAGAUGCGGAUCGUGAUAAUGUGAGAGUAAACAAUUUAUUUCUAUACGUGUGUUCCUAAUUUUAUUCUCAUUCCUAAACGAAAAACUUCGAAGAAGAACAAACAACAACUGCUAAAGAUCAAUAUAAAACAGAUGAUGUAUCUUUUAUAAUUUCUUAAGUAUCUUUUAUAUGAUCGGCGGUGUUUUUCAAUUAUCUUUUUGCAUAAAAUUUAUGAGAAAAUAAACCGUAAACCUAAUAGCAUGUGUGUGGACUUUGUCUAUAAUCAAUACAACACAAAUCCAUAUGAAUUACCUAUCUACUCUCUCAAUGAAAAUUCAAUUUCCAAUUCACUUGAAGAGAUUUAUUUUGAAUUUUAUUGCCGCUACCCGUUUAUUAUUAUUUUAAGAACUCAAUUUGUACCUUUUAAGAUUUGUUUUUGUAUCUUUUUCUCAUUUUUAAUGAUCUUCUUCUUUUGAACGCAAAAUUUGAAUAUAAAAUAAUUAAGUUGAAUCAGAAUGAACGCACAAACGCAUCUAUUAGUUAUUGUAUCUUCUUAUAAUAUCUUAUAGAUACAUAAAUAUAUUCAAAUGAAUUCAGUUUUUUUUUUUAAUUGAGAGAGAGAAUUAUUUAAGAUAGUUUAUUUGUAAUAAUUUUUAUUUGUGUUGAAUGAGUGAAAGAAAAACAAAUCAUUUUUCUCUCAUUCUUCAUUCGAGUUGAAGAAAUCACUAUAAACGAGAGGAGAGAUAGGUUAAAUAAUAAUAAUAUGUAGGCAAUAAAAAAAAAGAAA
Episyrphus balteatus (marmalade hoverfly) is the source of this 1410-nucleotide long non-coding RNA. RefSeq lists it as uncharacterized. The transcript has 2 exons. The record is from RefSeq and is a predicted model, not a curated record. NCBI's taxonomy places the organism in Eukaryota, Metazoa, Arthropoda, Insecta, Diptera, Syrphidae.